This is a non-coding RNA of Vicugna pacos (alpaca), 2343 nucleotides long. Lineage: Eukaryota; Metazoa; Chordata; Mammalia; Artiodactyla; Camelidae. The record is from RefSeq and is a predicted model, not a curated record.
GCCGCGGCUGUGUGUGUAGGCAGCCGCUCCAGAGAAGGAGGAGCACGAGGAUGUCGCUGCGACCGCGGCCCCGAGAGGGAGCCGCUGCUGCUUUGUGGCCGCGGGGGCUGAGGGACGGGAAUCAGGCCUCCCGGGGGUCGCGUCCCUGAGGGGACCGGGGGCGGCGGUCCCGCCCGAGCUCGGGCCUAGUACCCGGGGUGGGUCCGGGCCCUUGGGCGAGGGCCUCUCCCCCAUUGCCUCCCCUCGCCCCUCCACGUCGAUGGUGGUGAAGUUGGCAGCGCCAGGGAGUGCAAGGCACCAGGCUGCCUCCGUUGCACCCAGCUCCUUCUGGCGUGCGUCUCUCGUUCUGGCUCACGGACACCUGCGCCGCUGCCUCCUCUAGCCCGCUGAGCCCACCCCUGGCGGCGGGCGGGGGAGGGGCUUCCCCCUGCAGGGACUGUGUCGAACUGGGCAACGACGGGACCGUAGGAGAGUAGGGGUCCUAAAAAGGUGAACCCACUGGAGCUGGCUGGGGGAGAAAAGAAAAGUUUAUUACAAAAGGAACUGUCUGAGGAAUCAUAAGGAUUUCUAAAUAUGGAAAAAGGAGAAAUAAUCACUUGUUAAAAAAUCAGUUGUAUACUUUUUUCACAUCUGAAGAAAGAAGGCACAUAUAAUGCAACUGUUGGAAGACAUCAAAAGGUUGAUUUUUUAAGUUAAGAACAUUUGGCUUGGGAUUCAAGAUGAUGGUAUAGGAAGAUCCUGAACUCACCACCUCCCAUGAACACCAAAUCUAUAGCAACAUGAAGAACAAUUCCCUCUGAACACUAGCUGGACAGCAUCUCCACAACAAAGGAUAAAAGGACAACAUCGAGAUAAGUAGGAGAGGAAGAGAUGUGGUCUUGCCAAAAACCCCAUCCCAGGCACAGUGACCCACAAUUGGAGGAAACUCACAAAUAUGUGACUUCUCCCUAUGGAGUGAGGGGUUUGUUCCCCACAUUGGGCACUCCAGGUCCCAAGACAAAUCCUCAAAAUGCCUGGCUUUGAAAACCAAUGUAGCUUUUGUCCAGGAGAUCCAAAGGGUUGUUGGGAACUAAGAUCCCUCUCUUAAAGGGGCUCACAAGCAGACACACUUACUCCAAGAGCCAGCACAGAAAAGACAGUUUGAAAAGCUCCUAGACCAUAUGGGAAAGAGAUUCAUUUACUAACCUUAAAGCAUCUAGCAAAGGGGCAUAGGCCCACUGGGACUCUAUCCAGACAUAGAGGCACUGAUGGAUGCCUUUUUUUUUCUCUCCCUCUACUUUGCUACUGCUGGCUGGCUUGGCCUGCCCCUAUGUUUUUCCAUAGCCCCACUAAAGCUGGUGGGUACAUCCUGCACCCUUGUUCUCCCAUAACUCUACUAAAGCUGGUAAGUGCAUACAAUCCACACAAGUGAUGCCCCUUGAGUGCCUGGCACUGGUGGCCAAGGGACCUUGCAUUUCUGGGCCCCAUGAGACUGAAACAAAGAGACAGUUCUUGACAGAUUGUCACCUGCAGAGCACAGGCAGCAUACUGAAACACAGCCCCAGUCCACCUGUGAAAAAGUCCUAUUCUCCUGGAGCUUCAGCCUGAGGGUCAGACUUCAGGUUUAUCACAUAUCUAGAGGCUCCAGAGUUGCCAUCAGAGAACAUAAACUAGUGGACACCAUCUUUGUGCUUUCUGUUAGUCUUACUACAGCUCAACAGUACUUCCUUUAAUGGAGCUUAAACAUUCACCUGGAGCCCCAACUUUUGCAACUGUCACUACGGGGACACAUCUAGAUGGUCUGAUCUAGAGGCCAGUAGGGUUUAUGAUUUCAGUCCCAGAGGACUGUACGUAUUUGCAUACUUUAAAAGCUCUUGUCUGAGUGUCUGGCUUCCAAUCAGCCUGAAAUUAGGUGCUUACUGAGACCCUUCCCUUUGGAACACUGAACUGUCUUGGCACAACCUCAACAACUAUGACCUGUCAAGAAUAAAUUAGGUUGCUUAGAUAAUAACAAAGAUUCUAGAGACAACCAAGAGCUAGGGCAAGGUCGAAAGAUAAGUUUCAUCAUCUACAUGAGGCUACUCCUUCAAGAUUGGGAGAGGUAGCUGUUUCACCAAAUGCAUAGACUCAAACAUGGAUAGUCAAACAAAAUGAGGAAACAGAGGAAUACGUUUCAAAUAAAAGAACAAGAUAAAACUCCAGACAAAAAUCUUAAUGAACCAGAGAUAAGUAUUCUUGUCUGAUAAAGUUUAAAGUAAUGGUCAUGAAGAUGCUCACCAAACUUGGGAGACGAAUGGAUGAAAACAGUGAGAACUUCAACAAAGAGCUAGAAAAUAUAAGAAAGUACCAAAAAGAAGUCACAGA